GAUGAAGAACGUAGCGAAAUGCGAUAAGUAGUGUGAAUUGCAGAAUUCAGUGAAUCAUCGAAUCUUUGAACGCACAUUGCGCCCCUUGGUAUCCCGAGGGGCAUGCCUGUUCGAGCGUCAUUUCACCACUCAAGCCUGGCUUGGUGUUGGGCGACGUCCUCUUUGGGGACGCGCCUCGAAACGCUCGGCGGCGUGGCACCGGCUUUAGGCGUAGCAGAAUCUUUCGCUUUGGAAGUCGGGGCCCCGUCUGCCGGAAGACCUGCUCGCAAGGUUGACCUCGGAUCAGGCAGGGAUACCCGCUGAACUUAAGCAUAUCAAUAAGCGGAGGA
This 329-nucleotide unclassified non-coding RNA is filed under the name soil metagenome. Its description in RNAcentral is "partial contains 5.8S ribosomal RNA, internal transcribed spacer 2, and large subunit ribosomal RNA". The stretch from base 1 to 120 matches the Rfam family "5.8S ribosomal RNA", at positions 35 to 154 of the family's 154-position model. The record is from RNAcentral.